GAUGAACGCUGGCGGCGUGCCUAAUACAUGCAAGUCGAGCGAACGGACGAGAAGCUUGCUUCUCUGAUGUUAGCGGCGGACGGGUGAGUAACACGUGGAUAACCUACCUAUAAGACUGGGAUAACUUCGGGAAACCGGAGCUAAUACCGGAUAAUAUUUUGAACCGCAUGGUUCAAAAGUAAAAGACGGUCUUGCUGUCACUUAUAGAUGGAUCCGCGCUGCAUUAGCUAGUUGGUAAGGUAACGGCUUACCAAGGCAACGAUGCAUAGCCGACCUGAGAGGGUGAUCGGCCACACUGGAACUGAGACACGGUCCAGACUCCUACGGGAGGCAGCAGUAGGGAAUCUUCCGCAAUGGGCGAAAGCCUGACGGAGCAACGCCGCGUGAGUGAUGAAGGUCUUCGGAGCGUAAAACUCUGUUAUUAGGGAAGAACAUAUGUGUAAGUAACUGUGCACAUCUUGACGGUACCUAAUCAGAAAGCCACGGCUAACUACGUG
RNAcentral lists this ribosomal RNA (497 nucleotides) under uncultured bacterium. Its description in RNAcentral is "partial 16S ribosomal RNA". It matches the Rfam family "Bacterial small subunit ribosomal RNA", at positions 28 to 507 of the family's 1533-position model. The record is from RNAcentral.